AUUGAACGCUGGCGGCAGGCCUAACACAUGCAAGUCGAGCGGAUGAAGGGAGCUUGCUCCUGGAUUCAGCGGCGGACGGGUGAGUAAUGCCUAGGAAUCUGCCUGGUAGUGGGGGAUAACGUCCGGAAACGGGCGCUAAUACCGCAUACGUCCUGAGGGAGAAAGUGGGGGAUCUUCGGACCUCACGCUAUCAGAUGAGCCUAGGUCGGAUUAGCUAGUUGGUGGGGUAAAGGCCUACCAAGCCGACGAUCCGUAACUGGUCUGAGAGGAUGAUCAGUCACACUGGAACUGAGACACGGACCAGACUCCUACGGGAGGCAGCAGUGGGGAAUAUUGGACAAUGGGCGAAAGCCUGAUCCAGCCAUGCCGCGUGUGUGAAGAAGGUCUUCGGAUUGUAAAGCACUUUAAGUUGGGAGGAAGGGCAGUAAGUUAAUACCUUGCUGUUUUGACGUUACCAACAGAAUAAGCACCGGCUAACUUCGUG
RNAcentral lists this ribosomal RNA (484 nucleotides) under uncultured bacterium. Its description in RNAcentral is "partial 16S ribosomal RNA". It matches the Rfam family "Bacterial small subunit ribosomal RNA", at positions 30 to 507 of the family's 1533-position model. The record is from RNAcentral.